GCGGGCUGGACCUCUCGGGGGUUACAGCCUUGCUGAAUUAUUCACCCUUGUCUUUUGCGUACUUCUUGUUUCCUUGGUGGGUUCGCCCACCACUAGGACAAACAUAAACCUUUUGUAAUUGCAAUCAGCGUCAGUAACAAAUUAAUAAUUACAACUUUCAACAACGGAUCUCUUGGUUCUGGCAUCGAUGAAGAACGCAGCGAAAUGCGAUAAGUAGUGUGAAUUGCAGAAUUCAGUGAAUCAUCGAAUCUUUGAACGCACAUUGCGCCCUUUGGUAUUCCAAAGGGCAUGCCUGUUCGAGCGUCAUUUGUACCCUCAAGCUUUGCUUGGUGUUGGGCGUCUUGUCUCUAGCUUUGCUGGAGACUCGCCUUAAAGUAAUUGGCAGCCGGCCUACUGGUUUCGGAGCGCAGCACAAGUCGCACUCUCUAUCAGCAAAGGUCUAGCAUCCAUUAAGCCUUUUUUCAACUUUUGACCUCGGAUCAGGUAGGGAUACCCGCUGAACUUAAG
Molecule: ribosomal RNA, 507 nt
Filed under: Alternaria sp.
Lineage: Eukaryota; Fungi; Ascomycota; Dothideomycetes; Pleosporales; Pleosporaceae
Description: eukaryotic LSU rRNA
Rfam family: 5.8S ribosomal RNA (bases 153-306)
Source: RNAcentral